AACGAACGCUGGCGGCAGGCCUAACACAUGCAAGUCGAGCGCCCCGCAAGGGGAGCGGCGGACGGGUGAGUAACGCCUGGGAACGUGCCCCUUUCUACGGAAUAGCCUCGGGAAACCGGGAGUAAUCCCGUCUAAGCCCUACGAGGGAAAGAUCUAUCGGGAAGGGAUCGGCCCGCGUUGGAUUAGGUAGUUGGUGGGGUAAUGGCCUACCAAGCCGACGAUCCAUAGCUGGUUUGAGAGGAUGAUCAGCCACACUGGGACUGAGACACGGCCCAGACUCCUACGGGAGGCAGCAGUGGGGAAUCUUAGACAAUGGGCGCAAGCCUGAUCUAGCCAUGCCGCGUGAGCGAUGAAGGCCUUAGGGUUGUAAAGCUCUUUCAGUGGGGAAGAUAAUGACUGUACCCACAGAAGAAGCCCCGGCUAACUCCGUGCCAGCCGCCGCGGUAA
RNAcentral lists this ribosomal RNA (447 nucleotides) under uncultured bacterium. Its description in RNAcentral is "partial 16S ribosomal RNA". It matches the Rfam family "Bacterial small subunit ribosomal RNA", at positions 29 to 523 of the family's 1533-position model. The record is from RNAcentral.